ACGUACACUCCUACGGGAGGCAGCAGUGGGGAAUUUUGGACAAUGGGCGAAAGCCUGAUCCAGCCAUGCCGCGUGCAGGAUGAAGGCCUUCGGGUUGUAAACUGCUUUUGUACGGAACGAAACGGCCUUUUCUAAUAAAGAGGGCUAAUGACGGUACCGUAAGAAUAAGCACCGGCUAACUACGUGCCAGCAGCCGCGGUAAUACGUAGGGUGCAAGCGUUAAUCGGAAUUACUGGGCGUAAAGCGUGCGCAGGCGGUUAUGUAAGACAGUUGUGAAAUCCCCGGGCUCAACCUGGGAACUGCAUCUGUGACUGCAUAGCUAGAGUACGGUAGAGGGGGAUGGAAUUCCGCGUGUAGCAGUGAAAUGCGUAGAUAUGCGGAGGAACACCGAUGGCGAAGGCAAUCCCCUGGACCUGUACUGACGCUCAUGCACGAAAGCGUGGGGAGCAAACAGGAUUAGAUACCCGAGUAGUCC
RNAcentral lists this ribosomal RNA (475 nucleotides) under uncultured organism. RNAcentral's name for it is "partial 16S ribosomal RNA". It matches the Rfam family "Bacterial small subunit ribosomal RNA", at positions 329 to 796 of the family's 1533-position model. The record is from RNAcentral.